AACCUUCGCAAUGCGGGAAACCGCGACGAGGGGACUCCCAGUGCCUACGCUCAGCGUAGGCUGUUCCCGAGCYUAAAARGCUCGGGGAAUAAGGG
This 95-nucleotide ribosomal RNA is filed under the name uncultured archaeon. Its description in RNAcentral is "partial 16S ribosomal RNA". It matches the Rfam family "Archaeal small subunit ribosomal RNA", at positions 345 to 441 of the family's 1478-position model. The record is from RNAcentral.